CUGUAAGGUUUGGGGAGCUAGGAUUUCCACCUGGCUGAGAGGAUAAAUAGGUUUUGUCGACCCAUAUAACCUGAACCAGAUAAUACUGGCGAAGGGAAAAACUUGAAAAGGCAAG
This 115-nucleotide non-coding RNA is filed under the name unidentified. RNAcentral's name for it is "Miscellaneous Crenarchaeota TPP sequence". It matches the Rfam family "TPP riboswitch aptamer (THI element)". From Rfam's summary of the family: Vitamin B(1) in its active form thiamin pyrophosphate (TPP) is an essential coenzyme that is synthesised by coupling of pyrimidine and thiazole moieties in bacteria. The previously detected thiamin-regulatory element, thi box was extended, resulting in a new, highly conserved RNA secondary structure, the THI element, which is widely distributed in eubacteria and also occurs in some archaea. The record is from RNAcentral.